GAAAGGGUCCUUCGGGACCUGAGUAAAGUGGCGCACGGGUGAGUAACGCGUGGAUAAUCUGCCCUUCAGUUGGGAAUAACUCAUCGAAAGGUGGGCUAAUACCGAAUAAUGCUGUGAGACCUCGGUCGAUCAGCCAAAGAGAGCCUCUGCUUGCAUGCCCUUGCUGAAGGAUGAGUCCGCGUACCAUUAGCUAGUUGGUAGGGUAAUGGCCUACCAAGGCGACGAUGGUUAGCUGGUCUGAGAGGAUGAUCAGCCACACUGGAACUGAGACACGGUCCAGACUCCUACGGGAGGCAGCAGUGAGGAAUCUUGCGCAAUGGGGGAAACCCUGACGCAGCAACGCCGCGUGAGUGAGGAAGGUCUUCGGAUCGUAAAGCUCUGUCGGAUGGAAAGAACCGCAUAGGGGUAAAUAACACCUAUGUCUGACGGUACCAUCAAAGGAAGCACCGGCUAACUCCGUGCCAGCAGCCGCGGUAAUACGGGGGGUGCAAGCGUUGUUCGGAAUUAUUGGGCGUAAA
This 518-nucleotide ribosomal RNA is filed under the name uncultured bacterium. RNAcentral describes it as "bacterial SSU rRNA". It matches the Rfam family "Bacterial small subunit ribosomal RNA", at positions 69 to 564 of the family's 1533-position model. The record is from RNAcentral.